GAUGAACGCUAGCGGCAGGCCUAAUACAUGCAAGUCGAACGGUGUCUUCGGACAUAGUGGCGCACGGGUGCGUAACACGUAUGCAACCUACCUUACAUUGGGGGAUAGCCUUUCGAAAGGGAGAUUAAUACCGCAUAAGACAGUAGCUGGGCAUCCAGCAGCUGUUAAAGAUUUAUCGAUGUAAGCUGGGCAUGCGUCCAAUUAGCUAGUUGGUGAGGUAACGGCUCACCAAGGCAAUGAUUGGUAAGCGAACUGAGAGGUCAAUCCCCCACACUGGCACUGAGAUACGGACCAGACUCCUACGGGAGGCAGCAGUAGGGAAUAUUGGGCAAUGGACGCAAGUCUGACCCAGCCAUGCCGCGUGCAGGAUGAAGGCGUUAUGCGUUGUAAACUGCUUUUAUACAGGAAGAAACGACUCUUGCGAGAGGCAUUGACGGUACUGUAUGAAUAAGCACCGGCUAACUCCGUGCCAGCCGCCGCAGUAA
RNAcentral lists this ribosomal RNA (485 nucleotides) under uncultured bacterium. RNAcentral's name for it is "partial 16S ribosomal RNA". It matches the Rfam family "Bacterial small subunit ribosomal RNA", at positions 28 to 523 of the family's 1533-position model. The record is from RNAcentral.